CCUACGGGAGGCAGCAGUGGGGAAUAUUGCACAAUGGGGGAAACCCUGAUGCCGUGACGCCGCGUGAGUGAAGAAGUAUUUCGGUAUGUAAAGCUCUAUCAGCAGGGAAGAAACCCACCCUCCGGGGUGGCUGACGGUACCUGACUAAGAAGCCCCGGCUAACUACGUGCCAGCAGCCGCGGUAAUACGUAGGGGGCAAGCGUUAACCGGAUUUACUGGGGGUAAAGGGAGCGUAGACGGCAGCGCAAGUCUGAAGUGAAAUCCCAUGGCUUAACCAUGGAACUGCUUUGGAAACUGUGCAGCGGGAGUGAAGGAGAGGUAAGCGGAAUUCCUAGUGUAGCGGUGAAAUGCGUAGAUAUUAGGAGGAACACCAGUGGCGAAGGCGGCUUACUGGACUGUAACUGACGUUGAGGCUCGAAAGCGUGGGGAGCAAACAGGAUUAGAUACCCUGGUAGUC
This 457-nucleotide ribosomal RNA is filed under the name uncultured bacterium. RNAcentral describes it as "partial 16S ribosomal RNA". It matches the Rfam family "Bacterial small subunit ribosomal RNA", at positions 338 to 795 of the family's 1533-position model. The record is from RNAcentral.